Molecule: ribosomal RNA, 426 nt
Filed under: uncultured Glomus
Lineage: Eukaryota; Fungi; Glomeromycota; Glomeromycetes; Glomerales; Glomeraceae
Description: SSU rRNA
Rfam family: Eukaryotic small subunit ribosomal RNA
Source: RNAcentral
AGCAGCCGCGGUAAUUCCAGCUCCAAUAGCGUAUAUUAAAGUUGUUGCAGUUAAAAAGCUCGUAGUUGAAUUUCGGGGUCAGUAGAUUGGUCGUGCCACUGGUAUGUACUGGUCUCACUGGCUCCUCCUUCCUGAUGAACCGUAAUGCCAUUAAUUUGGUGUUGCGGGGAGACUGGACUGUUACUUUGAAAAAUUAGAGUGUUUAAAGCAGGCUAACGCUUGAAUACAUUAGCAUGGAAUAAUGAAAUAGGACGUUCGAUCUUAUUUUGUUGGUUUCUAAGAUUGACGUAAUGAUUAAUAGGGAUAGUUGGGGGCAUUAGUAUUCAAUUGUCAGAGGUGAAAUUCUUGGAUUUAUUGAAGACUAACUACUGCGAAAGCAUUUGCCAAGGAUGUUUUCAUUAAUCAAGAACGAAAGUUAGGGGAUCG